Xiphias gladius (swordfish) is the source of this 243-nucleotide long non-coding RNA. RefSeq lists it as uncharacterized. The transcript has 3 exons. Lineage: Eukaryota; Metazoa; Chordata; Actinopteri; Istiophoriformes; Xiphiidae. The record is from RefSeq and is a predicted model, not a curated record.
CUGGUCUGACCUGGUCUCUGAGCAGGAUCUGUCAAGGUUUGAAAAAUCAACUCGUCUCCUCAGGAAAUCCUCGUCUUCAUCAUCCUCAUGAUGCCGUCCAUCAGUGUGUCUCAGGUGUUCCUGCUGUCAGCCCUCCUCCACCUCGCCACAUCACUUCCUGUCAGGGAUGAAGCUGAGGUCAGACACCUGAACGCACCUUGGUCUCUGUCAGGGAUGAAUUCUGCAGACACUCCGCUUGAGGCC